CCUGAUAAAGCCAAACUCACCGUGAGGUGAGGACGGAAAGCCACGGGUCUUGCAAAAGAAAGCCGGGUUGCCUGGA
This 76-nucleotide non-coding RNA is filed under the name Candidatus Vecturithrix granuli. RNAcentral describes it as "Bacterium UASB270 c-di-GMP sequence". It matches the Rfam family "c-di-GMP-I-GGC riboswitch aptamer". The record is from Rfam by way of RNAcentral. Lineage: Bacteria; Candidatus Moduliflexota; Candidatus Vecturitrichia; Candidatus Vecturitrichales; Candidatus Vecturitrichaceae.